Molecule: ribosomal RNA, 253 nt
Filed under: uncultured bacterium
Lineage: Bacteria
Description: partial 16S ribosomal RNA
Rfam family: Bacterial small subunit ribosomal RNA
Source: RNAcentral
UACGUGGGGGGCAAGCGUUGUCCGGAAUCAUUGGGCGUAAAGCGCGCGUAGGCGGCCCGGUAAGUCCGUUGUGAAAGUCAAGGGCUCAACCUUUGAAUGCCGAUGGAUACUGCCGGGCUAGAGUCCGGAAGAGGCGAGUGGAAUUCCUGGUGUAGCGGUGGAAUGCGCAGAUAUCAGGAGGAACACCGAUAGCGAAGGCAGCUCGCUGGGACGGUACUGACGCUGAGGCGCGAAAGCGUGGGGAGCGAACAGG